RNAcentral lists this ribosomal RNA (498 nucleotides) under uncultured bacterium. RNAcentral's name for it is "bacterial SSU rRNA". It matches the Rfam family "Bacterial small subunit ribosomal RNA", at positions 903 to 1397 of the family's 1533-position model. The record is from RNAcentral.
AAAGGAAUAGACGGGGACCCGCACAAGCGGUGGAGCAUGUGGUUUAAUUCGAGGCAACGCGAAGAACCUUACCAGGCCUUGACAUGUCCAGUAUGGGGUAGAGAGAUUUACUCCUUCAGUUUGGCUGGCUGGAACACAGGUGCUGCAUGGCUGUCGUCAGCUCGUGUCGUGAGAUGUUGGGUUAAGUCCCGCAACGAGCGCAACCCUCGUCCUUAGUUGCCAUCAGGUAAUGCUGGGAACUCUAAGGAAACUGCCGGUGAUAAGCCGGAGGAAGGUGGGGAUGACGUCAAGUCUUCAUGGCCCUUACGGCCUGGGCUACACACGUGCUACAAUGGCGGUGACAAUGGGAUGCUAACCUGCAAGGGUAUGCUAAUCUCCAAACGCCGUCUCAGUUCGGAUUGCACUCUGCAACUCGAGUGCAUGAAGCUGGAAUCGCUAGUAAUCGUAGAUCAGCACGCUACGGUGAAUACGUUCCCGGGUCUUGUACACACCGCCCGU